CAAUGCCUUGAGUUCAGUUCAGGGCAAGCCUCCCUGUUCAUUUAAUUAAAUCUUGGGACAUGAUCAGGCUACGGAAGACGAUUACAUGGAAGAUAUCACUCUAUUCAUUGAUCUCCCAGCCUACAAAA
Panthera pardus (leopard) is the source of this 128-nucleotide small nucleolar RNA. The record is from Ensembl. NCBI's taxonomy places the organism in Eukaryota, Metazoa, Chordata, Mammalia, Carnivora, Felidae.